AUUCAACCCCACACCCAAUCUCCUCUUAAACCCAAAGCCUAUUGGGUUCCAUUUUACUUUGGGUGAAUGCAAGUACAAUAUUCAAGAUAUUGAUGCACACUCUGAUUGGGUUUCUUGUGUCCAAUAUUCUCCUAAUACACUUUAGGUGACUAUAGUUUUUGGGUCAUGGGAUAGGACAGUGAAAAUCUAGAAUUUGAGGAAUUGCAAGUUGAAAUCCACCUUGGCUGGGCAUACUGAGUCGGUUAAUACAGUGGUUGUUUAGCCUGAUGGGUCCUUGUGCACGAGUGGUGGGAAAGAUGGGAUGAUAUUUCUAUGGGAUUUGGCGGAAAGGAAGAAGCUUUACUCGUUGGGAGCUGGUUCAACUAUUCAUUCACUUUGCUUCAAUCCCAACAGGUAUUAGCUUACUGAAGCCAGCAUUAAGAUUUGAGACUUGGGUUUGCUGGAGUGUGAGGACGAGGAGGAAAGAAGUAGAGAGGAGUUGUUGGUGGAAACAUUAUCAUAGUCGGUUGAAUAGGACAUGCAUAGAGGGGUAAAACGGAACCAACUAGUAUUGGUGUUGACACAUAAAAAUUCAGCCCAAAUCGAG
This 586-nucleotide long non-coding RNA is filed under the name Olea europaea subsp. europaea. Lineage: Eukaryota; Viridiplantae; Streptophyta; Magnoliopsida; Lamiales; Oleaceae. The record is from RNAcentral.